Molecule: long non-coding RNA, 562 nt
Organism: Rhipicephalus sanguineus (brown dog tick)
Lineage: Eukaryota; Metazoa; Arthropoda; Arachnida; Ixodida; Ixodidae
Exons: 5
Source: RefSeq, a predicted model, not a curated record
GUGCCGGUGAACAUGCGUGCUUUGUCGAAGAUUUGAUCACGCUUGUCUACAUAGUUCCGGAUAUUCUUGGACCAUCGUUCACAAGUUUUUCUGUUUACGCUCCUGGCGUUUCAUUCAGCGGUCACUUCAGGUAGAACAAUUUGAUUGAAAGCUCUAACCCUGCUGCCAGAAGGUGGAACUACUGUACCUUUGCAGAAACUCUACAUGAAGUUUAUCCACGAAUGGUAUGGAAAGAAAAGGAACUUCAGCAGCUUGGAUGGAUUGGGUUCAUGCGUUCAGUCAGCAGCUCAAGAAAAACCCGGAAAUUCCGAAUUAAACCACGUUUUGCACUGACCUCUAACACUUCUGAACUAACAACUGAUAUCUCGUGCGCUGAAGCACAGCGUGAGCUAAGGGCAAUUUCAGAAACUGUCACAGACCCAGAUUGAAUUGAUCUUUCAAGAAUGAACAUGUUGCUGCGUGCAACCAUUCAAAUACGGCAGCAAAAUCCUGUUGAGGAGCUCCCUGUAUACCUUCUGAAUGCAGCUGUGGACCAGCAUGACACCAGCAAGCUUCUUCUAGG